GGGUCAGUAGGUUGGUCGUGCCACCGGUACGUACUGGUCUCACUGAUUCCUCCUUCCUGAAGAACCGUAAUGCCAUUAAUUUGGUGUUGCGGGGAAACAGGACUGUUACCUUGAAAAAAUUAGAGUGUUUAAAGCAAGCUAACGCUUUAAUACAUUAGCAUGGAAUAAUGAAAUAGGACGAUCGAUCCUAUUUUGUUGGUUCCUAGGAUUGACGUA
RNAcentral lists this ribosomal RNA (216 nucleotides) under Glomeromycotina sp. RNAcentral describes it as "partial small subunit ribosomal RNA". The stretch from base 40 to 216 matches the Rfam family "Eukaryotic small subunit ribosomal RNA", at positions 686 to 864 of the family's 1831-position model. Lineage: Eukaryota; Fungi; Glomeromycota. The record is from RNAcentral.